CACGUAGGGGGCGAGCGUUGUCCGGAUUUAUUGGGCGUAAGGAGCUCGUAGGCGGUUUCGUAAGUCGGAUGUGAAAACUCCAGGCUCAACUUGGAGACGCCAUUCGAUACUGCGAUGACUUGAGUCCGGUAGGGGAGUGUGGAAUUCCUGGUGUAGCGGUGAAAUGCGCAGAUAUCAGGAGGAACACCGGCGGCGAAGGCGGCACUCUGGGCCGGUACUGACGCUGAGGAGCGAAAGCGCGGGUAGCAAACAGGAUUAGAUACCCGAGUAGU
RNAcentral lists this ribosomal RNA (272 nucleotides) under uncultured bacterium. Its description in RNAcentral is "partial 16S ribosomal RNA". It matches the Rfam family "Bacterial small subunit ribosomal RNA", at positions 524 to 794 of the family's 1533-position model. The record is from RNAcentral.